AAGUCGUAACAAGGUUUCCGUAGGUGAACCUGCGGAAGGAUCAUUAAAAAAUCAUUUGAGCCGCAAGGCUCUAUUAUCUUGUGAAAUGUCCAUGGGAGAAUUUUGCCCAGUGAGUGAGGAAGGUAUAUGUCGCUUGCGCUCUAUAUCGUCCACUUCUCUAUGCGCAGGAUUUUCCCAGUUAUUAUUAAACAUAUGUUUAUUGAUGUUGAGGAAAUGUAUAUUUAAAUAUAAUACUUAUACAACUUUCAACAGUGGAUCUCUCGGCUCUU
Molecule: unclassified non-coding RNA, 269 nt
Filed under: fungal sp.
Lineage: Eukaryota; Fungi
Also listed under: 1 other name
Description: partial internal transcribed spacer region
Rfam family: Eukaryotic small subunit ribosomal RNA (bases 1-46)
Source: RNAcentral